Molecule: non-coding RNA, 7703 nt
Organism: Ictidomys tridecemlineatus (thirteen-lined ground squirrel)
Lineage: Eukaryota; Metazoa; Chordata; Mammalia; Rodentia; Sciuridae
Source: RefSeq, a predicted model, not a curated record
UCUUGGAGCUAAUUGUAGAAAAUAUAUCACUAGAAAACUGAGGCAAAGUGCUUGCCUAGCAUGCACAAUGCCCUGGGUUACACACACACACACACACACAACUUCUACUAUGGGCUAUGGUUUUUAAUUUUUGCUAUUUUUUUAAAAAAUAUUUUUUAAUUGUCAAUGAACCUUUAUUUUACUUGUUUAUAUUUGGUGCUGAGAGUCAAACCCAGUGCUUCACACAUGCUAGGCAAGUGCUCUACACCGAGCCACAACCCCAACCCCAUUGCUAUCUUCUUUUGAUAUGCAGCCAUUAACUAUUCUUUUUAUCUUGCCUCCUAAGAAUUGAAUCAAAAUAAGCUUUAUAUUAUAUCCCCAAUUUAUUGUUCAAACUGUAACAUUCUGAACAAUUUGUGGCAAUUUUUUUCACAUUUGUUGUCACAUUAUUUCUGACAUUUUUACCUUUAGAAAGUUAUGAAGUGUGUUCUACAUAUUUUUUUAAUAAAUAGUAGAUCUUUCCAACAUUAUUAUAUGAAAUAUAAAUAAGCCUUAUUUCUUCAGACUAUCAUUGAUGAUUUUUUUGUUUUGUUUUGUUUUGUUUGGAACCAGGGAUUGAACUUGGGGGCACUCAACCACUGAGCCACAUCCCCAGCCCUAUUUUGUAUUUUAUCUAGAGACAGGGUCUCGCUGAGUUGCUUAGCCCCCUUGCUUUUGCAGAGGCUAGCUUUGAACUCGUGAUCCUCCUGCCUCAACCUCCCGAGCUGCAGGGAUUACAGGCGUAUGCCAUCACACCUGGCUACACUGAUGAUAUCUUAACAUUAGUUAACAUCUUUAAUCCAUAGCCUAAAAGGUGUAGUAUUCAUUGUUAAGCACACAAAUGAAAACCAAUGUCUCCAUACAAUUUCAUCUGAGCGUCUCUCAGCCUAAGGGAUACAGAGAUAAGUAAUCAUCCCAUGUGAUUACAGCAACAAGAAAAGAAGACCUCGGAGGGUCAAAUGGAAAUUGCUUUCGUGACAUGCUUUUAACAUGACUACAAUUAAAGAGAGCUUUUUCUCAGAGUUCUCCAGUGAAUAAGUCCCUUGCUAAUACCAUCUCUGAUAAGUGUCAAGAAAUGUGUAAUUGUGAGCCGGAAAAGAAUGAGGACACCACUGUCUUCCUAAAAAAGAUCUAAUUGAAACCCUAAGGAAUGUGAAUUAUGUAGAACAUGCUGGCCACAAUCUCAGCCAUUUUUGUCUUUUUAUUGAAAGGGCUAUUAUGUUCUUAUUUCUAAGAAAUUACAAGUGUGGAGUUUUUUAUUUUUUAAGAGAUGAAAAUAUGAUAGAUACCGAAUGUUAAAUAAAAGAAUGGCCUAUUUAAAAUGGGUGCUUUAAAGCUGUUACAUUAAUCCUUCAUUGAUUAUUGAUGACCAAAAUCUGCAUCAGGACCCAUCAUAAGACACUCUAGUAUGUUAAGUGAGAAGUUCAUUGAUAAUUCCUAAGUUUGAGACUGCAGUUUAGAGGCAUGAGCAGGUGAGGGGGCUGUUGGAAUUAGAAUUGCACAAAGUGGACAACCUCAGGCACAAAGGAGCAGUACUGCCUGGGGCCAGAACUGGGACUGAUUCACUCAGUGCCAGAAACCGAGGAGAUGGAUGUAAGUUAUCUAAGUUAUCAAGGAAAGAUUUAAUUAUGGUCACUAUCCUCUGCUUAAGAAGCCAAAGAUAAUGCACAGGUAUUCUUUCAUAAAUAGUACUGAAUUCUUCAAAGAUUUUUAGCAAGUAAAUAAUGAACGUAUGAACAUGACUCAACCGUUUAUUAAAAACAAAAUACUCUAAGCCCUCCACUAGGAGUCAUGCUGGCAUCGCCCCAGAACCAUCUAUUUUUCCAUGUAAUUUUUUCCUAAACCCCAGAGCUGUUAGAAUAAUAAAACAAAAUCAUAGUGUGUUCUCUGAAUAAAAGCUUCUAUAUUUAAGUACCCAUGGGUGGAAAUAUUCCAGUGGUGUUAUGUAUUGAAAAUUGCUAUUUUUAUGUACUCUUGGUAUUUAAAAUGCAAAGAUGUGAGCUCCGAAGAAAUGCAUACGAAGCAAAUUAAACAGGCCAAAAGAGGGAAUAGGAAUGUAAAGAUUGGUAUUAUUAUAGAAGAACUAGUGGGUUUCCAAAAUGUUUUAGGAAUUGGAAAGAAAUUUACCAGCUUCUAAUUCAUUCUACCAAGGACACCAUUUUUCCCCUUCCAUCUUACCCCAAGCCACCUUAUCCUUUUUAACCAACCACUUUAUUAUAAGCAGGAAUAAUAUGGAAAUCUAAGAGAGGACUAUCUAGGGAGAUUUGUUUUUGUAACUGAUGUUAAUUCUAAAAAUAGAAUUAAUUAAUCUUAUGUUCAAAAAAUGACUGGGCGUUUAUUUAGACAGUCGUGCAAAAUACAUUGUAUAGCUUACCAGUAAAAGUGAUGACUUGUUGUCCAGAAUAUUGUUUGGAAUGAGAGCUGACAAGUUGUGUUGUCUGGCCAGUGUUCUUCAGCUAGACAGUGGUUAAGCUGGGACUUGAACCUAGAACUAGGUAAUCCUGCUUUGUUGUUGUUUCCCCUUGGUUUGGUUUGGUUUGGCUUUGUAGUACUGGGGGUUGAACUAGGGCCUCGUACAUACAGGUGCUCCACCAGUGAGCUAUAUCCUUGGCCCUUUUUCCUGGGUUUCUUUUCUCUCCAGCAAUAUGUGUGUCCUGGAAUCAUUGGGGUUUCUUCUUGCUUUAUUUUCAAAGCUCUAGAGUGCUACCACAGAAUUUUGUGUUCUGGAUCAUAUUAGCAGAAUGCUGAGUUUUUGUUACUGUAUAUGAAUAGACCUUAGUCAGAUUUUGUGAAUUGUCCAAAUACAAAAUAACAAAAGGGAAAAAAUCUUUUCCCCCAGGAUCCAUUCCAGGAUCUCACGUUGCCUUCAGUUGUCAUGAGAUCUUAGUCUCUGUUGUCUAAAGCAGUUCCUUAGGCUUCAUGUUGUGUUAUUACCUUGAUGUUCUGAAGAACUCAGGCUAAUUAUGUUGUUGAGCCUCUCAAGGUGUGUUUGUCUGAUGCUUCUCAAGAUUAGAUUCAGGUUGUGAAUGUGGCAGGAGUACAACAAGCAGUGCUGUCCUCUCAGUUUAUCACCUCAGGAGAUGCCUGAUGUCUCUAGCUCCUAACUACUGAGGUGCACUUUGAUCACUUGGAGAGGGUGCUAUCUGCCAGGAGUCUUUACUUUAAAGUUAAUAUUUUGCCCUAUUUUUAAGGAGGCAUUUUCAUAUUAUGUAAAUAUUGUUUCUCAUCAAACUCUCACCUGCUGGUUUUAGCAUCUUCUAAUGAUUCUUUUCUGAGGCAGUUAUUACUAUGGUAGUUGCCAAAUGGUGGUUUUCCUGUCAUUCCUUCCAAGUCACUCUUCUACAGUAGUGUUAGUCUUCUGUUAUAGGUAGCUCUUGUCUGGAUGAAUCUUAGGUUGUAAUUCUAUGGAUUAUAACCCUUUAUCAAGGUUUAAAGCUUAAUUGUCCCAUAUUUGGCCACGGGGGGAGGCCCUUUAAUCUUGCUUCUACAUCUUUUAAUAUGUUUCCAACAUUCUUUUAGCACUUCCUUAAUUUAUGGCAGGAGAUAAUCCAGGCGCAUCUUGUGCUUUCCAGCCCUGGCUUCCAUGGAGCCCAAAUUCUUUUUGGUGGAGAUGAUAUUUAGAAAUCAGAAUUUGGAACUGCGUGUCACUGUUUCUAGGCCCUGUCGGUGGAAUAGCUGGACAUACCUGUGUAUGUGUUGUGUAUGUAUGUAGUGUUAUGGUUUAAAUCUGGAUUCUCCCCCAAAGGCUCAUGUGUUGAAUGCUUUGUCCCUUGCUGGUGGUAUCAUUGGGUGGAAACCUUGGGAGAUGGGGUGUGUUUGGAAGAGGUGGGUCACUUGGGGCACACCUUUGAAGGGUAUGCUUUGUCCCUGGACCCUUCUGUCUCACUGCUUCCUGGAUGCCCUGAGGUGAACACUUCUGAUCCACUGUGUACUCUCCACCAUGAUGUUCUGCCUCACCAAAGUGACCAUGGACUGGAACCUCUGAAACUAUGAGCCAAAAUAAAUCUUUCUUCCUCUGCGGUUGAUUUUCUCAGGUAUUCCUUUACAGUGACAAACAGCUGACUAACACCUAUGGAUAUGUACAUUUCUGUAUCCACCCAGAUUUCUUUGAAACCUUUAGGUAUCCUACUGGUGGCUCCAAAUCCACCUCACCCCUCAGGAUUCAUGAUUUAUUCUAGCAUUCCAUUUUUCCAUAUUUGUAACUCUUCCCCAACUGUGAGAAACUUGGUUCCCAUUCUCCACAAUGUAUUUAUAUGCUCAAUCCUACAGUAUCCAUAGGACUUUCAAAAUCAAAAUGUGAAAAACAAGCCCAGUGGCUAGCAUUUAGUGUUUUGUUUACAGAUCCUUUUGUUUUUAGCUUGAGGAUAAAUCAAAGCACUGUUUAAAAGUUAUCUCUCCCAUCUGUGUGGUGGCACCUGUAAUGCCUGUAAUCCCAGUGGUUCGGGAAAAUGACGUAGGAGGAUCACAAGCUCAAGACCUGUCUCAAAAAUUUAAAAAUGAAAGGAGCUGAAGAUAUGGCUCAGUGGUUAGGCACGCUGGGUUCAGUCACUGGUAUCAAAAUAAUAAUAAUAAUAAUUCCUCUCUCCUUUCUGGUGUGGUUAUUAUUUGAAAAUUUGGAGCAUUUUAAUUCCAUGUUAGGGGUUCCUUCCCGUUGUUAACUGAUUUUGCUUGUUUUGUGUGAGGGUCUUGUUACUCUUGUUAUUUUGAGUAUAUAAGACAUUAACAUUGCUCAAAAGUCAAAACUUACAAAAAGCCAGCUCCCCUUUCUUUUUUUUUUUAUGCCAUCGUCACUUCCCCAUCUGCUGCACGCAGCUUGUGGGUGACUAGUCUCAUUAUUUUCUGAUUCCUCCUUCCUGUGUUUCAUUUUGUACAAGUGAACAAACACGUGUCUAUCUUUUCUUUCUCUUUCUUACAACAAAGAAUGCACGGGUCUCUGUGUUUGUUUUGCUUUUGCACCUUGCUUUAUUCACUUAAUAAUAUAUUCUGAACAGAUACCAUGAUGAUUAUAGAAUCUGCCUCAUUUAAAAACAGCUGCAACUGUAUCUAUUGUGUGGAUGUACCAUAGUUUAUUCAGCUACUUUCCUAUGUUUGGGCAUUCAGGUCUCCGGUAUUUUAUCAUUAUUAAUAACAUUACAAUGACUAACCUUAUGUAAGAGUAUUUUUGUAUUGUGAGAGGUAUGUGUUUUGGGUUAAUUUAGGGGCAGUUGCAUUUGUGGCUUUGUUAGACACAUAAGCAAAUUCCCUGUACAGAGUAUAACAGUGUGCAUUUCUGUCAGAGUUGAUGAGGGUGUCUUACUUCUUUCCCACAGCCUUACUAACUGAAUACGGCAUUAGACUUUUUAGUUGUUCCCAAUCUAAUAUAUGAGGAAUGGUAUCAUGGUGAUUAAUUUGUAUUUCUUCUGAGUGAAGCUGCACAUCAUUUCAUAUGGUUAAGAGUCGUUAUUAUUUCUUUAAUUUUGGAGAAUUAUCUGUCCCUAUCUUUUGCCUAUUUGAUCUUUUAUCCCCUCAGUUCUUAAGAGCUCUUUAUAAGUUAUUAGUUAUUUUUCUGUGAUGUUAUAUGUAUUUUCUCUGAAUAUUUUCAGUUGGUUUUGACGGUAUCCUUUUUUGAUAUUUUCUGUGAUAGUAGAGUUUCAGUUCUGUCUGCUGUUUUUAACAAAUAAGAUUCAAUGUGUACAUUCCUAUCCAAAUAUUUCUCUUAAUCCAUGUUGAAGAAACAGACUCUUCAAAGAUAGAAAUCCUUGCCAGGUGCAGUGGCACAUGCCUGUAAUCACAGGGGCUCAAGAGGCUGAGGAAGGAGGAUUGCAAGUUCCAGACCAGACUUGGCAACUUGAGCAAGACCCUGGGUCAAAAUAAAAAAUAAAAAGGGCUGGGCAUAUGGCUCAGUGGUAAAGUGCCCCUGGGUUCCAUCCCCAGUACACCAAAAAAAGAUAAGAGAUCCUUAUUAAAUAUCAAGUAUUUUUCCCUCUCCAAUACGAACAGUAUUUCCCAAUUUUUCUGAGAAUCUGAUGCAAGGUGUGGCCCUUCCCCAGAAAGAAGCACAUAUACACACACAGCACAACAUGGCUGUGGCAUCUGCUUCGACCAAAACAAUCAGUGAAGCUCUACUUUCUUUGACUUACUCAUUCUCUAUUUUCCACCCACUUUCAGAAACGUGAGCAUCUCUGAUGCUGAGCAGUGUCCUUUUACAUUAGCUUACCUCCUUGCCAUACAUGUGUUGUGCUUUGUUGUAUGAUUUUCCUAUUUGUGGUUGUUUUCGGUUAGAUUGCCACAGAUCCCAACAGUUCUUAACCUAGUUAAGGGAACAGGACUCUGAGGAGGUCUUUGUGCUACAGGAGUUGAAAUGUGAACACAAACGUUGACCCUUCACUGUGUGUGAGGUAGAAGCUGCCCGCUAACGAGGAGCUCAUGGCUGUUUGGGCAGAUGUGAGUGGGGAGGGGACAUGGCAGGCAGACUUCAUGGCUUUAUGCCGACUUGGGGCAUGUUCCUUGACCUCUUUGAGCUUCUGUUGUUCUGUCUGUUGGAAGCAGUAUUACAAAAGGAUUUAAAAAAAAAAAUGGUAUCUGAGGCCAGAUGCUUGGAUUCAGAUUCCAGCAUGUCUUUGAAUGUAACUCCUGUUCCCUUGGCAUCUCAGUUCCUCAGACCUCACAGUGACUUCCUGUGCAGUGAAUCUUAGAAUGGUGUCUGGUACAGAGCGAGUGAUCAGAAUUUGUCAGUUUUUCUCAUCAUCAGCCACAUAAUAGUAUUUAUGGGAUGUUGUGAGCUUUAACCAAGAUGAUACAAGGUGCUAACAAUAUGUGCUCCGUGAUUGUUAAUCUAUUAACAAUAACAUUAGAAGUAGAAGACCUCUUUAAAAAAUCUUCCAUUUUUUCAGUUUUUAUUUCUGCCCAGUUCAGCAUAUCCCAAGCUGCCCAAAUCUUGCCAUGCUCUCAUUCUUUAAGCCAAUUUGAUGGAUAUCUGAGCUUCCUUCAAAGUUUCUAAAUUAUUUCCUAUGUCUCAUAGAGAGUCUUUAAUUAAAACUCAGAGCCCCAGAUAGGUCUAUUGAAAGCAGUUACAAGCUUAUUAUCCAUUCAAAUAAAUGAUCACCUGACCCUUUAUGGUGUGGGCAGUUUAUCCUGCACUUUCAGCUAAGCAUUCUAGUCACAGACUUAACAUUGUCAAAAAACAUUCUCCAGGCUCAGGAAGUUAUAUGAUCUAACUUUAAAAAGCAGAAGUGAGUGGACCCUGCCCAGGCUGCUGGUUCUGGAUCCAGUGGACAGAGGAGGAUGAGGGGUAGAUUAUAAACACAAAUUGAGUUCUAACCAGAUGCCAGGCAAAAUUACUGAGGCUUAGGUGCAACAUCACAUUUACUUCUCAGCACCCAUGUGAGGGGUGCUUUUAAUACCUACAUUUUACAGAGAAAGGAACUGAAACACAGAAAGCUUAAAUAGUAUGCCAUGGUCACAUGGUUGGGGUAAGGGGCAAAAUUCAAACCCUGCUGGCAAACUGCAGAGAGUGCCCCACUGUACCAUGCUGAUGCCUGAGCAAAAUGGGUUCUCAAACACAGAGGUAGGGACUAAAGGUUGGGGAUAGGAUUAUUUAUCACCAGUGAUCAUUACAUGAAGACCUCCAUCUGACUUUCUCAUUGAGAGUCAAUGUAGACAUUUCCUCUCCAGUAAAGCAAAAUGAGCACCCCCUUCCCUCUUUG